GGACUACAGGGGUUUCUAAUCCUGUUUGCUCCCCUAGCUUUCGUGCCUCAGUGUCAGGAGUCGUCCAGGGACUCGCCUUCGCCACUGGUGUUCCUCUCGAUAUCUACGCAUUUCACUGCUACACCGAGAAUUCCAGUCCCCCCUCCGACCCUCAAGUUGGGUAGUUUCCAAUGCCGUUUCGGAGUUGAGCUCCGAGAUUUCACAUCCGACUUACCCUACCACCUACGCACCCUUUACGCCCAGUGAAUCCGAACAACGCUCGGGACCUCUGUAUUACCGCGGCUGCUGGCAC
RNAcentral lists this ribosomal RNA (292 nucleotides) under uncultured Verrucomicrobiota bacterium. RNAcentral's name for it is "uncultured Verrucomicrobia bacterium partial 16S ribosomal RNA". Lineage: Bacteria; Pseudomonadati; Verrucomicrobiota. The record is from RNAcentral.